This is a small nucleolar RNA of Echinops telfairi (small Madagascar hedgehog), 132 nucleotides long. RefSeq annotates it as small nucleolar RNA SNORA41. The record is from RefSeq and is a predicted model, not a curated record. NCBI's taxonomy places the organism in Eukaryota, Metazoa, Chordata, Mammalia, Afrosoricida, Tenrecidae. The transcript has a single exon.
UUCCACAGCUACUGGUCUGCAACUGUUUUUAUGGUAGCAGUUGUGGCGUUCUUUUGUGGGAAAGAAAGUGUUACCCAAUGUAACAUCCCUCUUUCCCAGCCAAAAAAAAAAAAGUCUCGCUUACAGGUAAAG